UACGAAGGGAGCAAGCGUUGCUCGGAUUUAUUGGGCGUAAAGGGUGUGUAGGCGGUUUGAUAAGUUAGAUGUGAAAGCCCCGGGCUCAACCCGGGAAUUGCAUUUAAGACUGUUGAACUUGAAGUUUGGAGAGGUUAGCAGAAUUCCCAGUGUAGAGGUGAAAUUCGUAGAUAUUGGGAAGAAUACCAAUGGCGUAGGCAGCUAACUGGCCAAAACUUGACGCUGAGGCACGAAAGCGUGGGGAGCAAACAGG
Molecule: ribosomal RNA, 253 nt
Filed under: uncultured bacterium
Lineage: Bacteria
Description: partial 16S ribosomal RNA
Rfam family: Bacterial small subunit ribosomal RNA
Source: RNAcentral